AGGACCAAAGGCUUAGGGGAAAAAUCAGCAUCCCUAAGACAGGACCAGAUGGAACGGAGAACAGACUCAGACUCUCAGAUUGUCAGACAGACAAUGGGUGAAAACAGAGCAGAGGUCAUGAAAUGAAGGCGUGGACCAGGCUCCACUUAAGAGAGGGUGGAAGGACAGGAAAACAAGGAAAGACAGCACAGCGAGAUGAAGACGUCAGAGACGCAGGAGCAGGUACUUUUAUAACCUGUGUGCGUGGAUUCACUCCUGUGGUUCUCAGAACGCCCUUGUCACGGAAGCACUACUUCUGGUCCCCUCUGACAAAGGAGAAAAUUGGUCUGGUCAAGUAGCUUGUCAAAGUCACACAGAGUGAGUAAGCGACAGACCCAGUCUUUGAAGCCAGACAACACGGCUGCGGCUUCCCCACGCCCCACAUCAAGACAACUCAACUUAUUCCAUUUCAUUCACCCGCUCUCUCCCCGCUGCCUAGCAGCCAACAGAGACCCGCAAGGUCUGUUUUGCCUGCUGUAGUAAACUCUGCUGCCACCAGGGGCGAUGCUGCCCACGAUGGUCUCAGCCACCACCGUAUUCAGCGCAGAUCCUGGGAGACUGUGGCUCUGUUCAGCUGGACUCUUCCUGUGCAAAUAGAAGGCCAAGUGCAGGAGAGAGAUUGCUCACUGGGCAAGGGUGUGAAAGGACAGCCUCUCAGGGCCACAGGGAGGAUAUAGGCUCUAGGAUUGACGGCUGGGUUCUCGCAGCCUCCCAUGCUGCCUGGCAAAAAAAAAAAAAAAAAAAGGCAACCAGGCCUGUGUUAAGGUACCUAAACUUUUCCAAGCCUGAGCUUCAUUAUCUGGAAGUGGAAACAGCCAUCCGCCAGCUUGCCUGCAGUUAAAAUCACCUCAUCUCCACCCUGUCUGGAAGUGGCUGCUGCAUCUUGAGCAAGCCAUGCGGGGACCACUGCGCACUCUCUUCCCAGCAGUCUCCUGGGCGCCUCCCCAGAGCAGAAAGCCGAAGCCUGUACAGGCUCAGCCCGCCAGGAGGCAACGGAGCUUGGAGGAGGAGGACAGCUCCUGUCUGUCCACGGCGGAAACAGGCCCACGUUGUUUGGAGCUGGAGCAGAAGCAGGCAAGGGGGAUCAGCCACGUGGAUGGUCUCGCCUCAGCCCGAAACCUGGUGAGAAGUGUUCGUGUCUGUGCCAGAAGCUACAGCAAGAGAGGAGGAAGGCGAGGCCCGGCGUGGCCCCAUGCUUGUCCACCUGCUGGGGCCUGGGUGUGACACAGACUGGGGCCGAGGCACAUCCAGCGGCCCCCCGGCAUCCUGCAGUGACAGAGCUGCACCAGGUCUUGGGACACAGAGGAAAGGAAGGCGGCAGGUCCUGUGUGCCUCACGAGAUGGAGGGAGGUCAACCUCGGAAGGGGGCCUGGACCCCAAGAGGGCAGAAAGGCAGUAGGGUGGGCUCCCGCCUGGUGGGUGGACAAGCGCUGCUAGCCCAGGAGAGCCAGCAGGGUGGCGCUAGGACGGCCACCAGCAUCGGCUGGAAAACAGGUGAACUCACCAAGCGUUUUGUAGUCAGGCUCAGCGCCCAACUCAGUGAAAACCUGCAAAGUCCCACUGGAGGCUGGUCUACACUGGGAGCUUCCACCUUUAGCUACCACAGGGGGUUUUCUUUUCUUUUUUUUU
Phacochoerus africanus (Common warthog) is the source of this 1668-nucleotide long non-coding RNA. RefSeq lists it as uncharacterized. NCBI's taxonomy places the organism in Eukaryota, Metazoa, Chordata, Mammalia, Artiodactyla, Suidae. The record is from RefSeq and is a predicted model, not a curated record. The transcript has 3 exons.